Molecule: ribosomal RNA, 440 nt
Filed under: uncultured bacterium
Lineage: Bacteria
Description: partial 16S ribosomal RNA
Rfam family: Bacterial small subunit ribosomal RNA
Source: RNAcentral
CCUACGGGCGGCAGCAGUGGGGAAUAUUGCACAAUGGGGGAAACCCUGAUGCAGCGACGCCGCGUGAGGGAAGAAGUAUCCCGGUAUGGAAACUUCCAUCAGCAGGGAAGCAAAUGAUGGUACCUGAUUAAGAAGCCCCGGCUAACUACGUGUCAGCAGCCGCGGUAAUAGGUAGGGGGCAAGCGUUACCCGGAUUUACUGGGUGUAAGGGGAGCGUAGACGGAAGAGCAAGCCUGAUGUGAAAGGCUGGGGCUUAACCCCAGGACUGCAUUGGAAACUGCUUUUCUAGAGUGCCGGAGAGGUAAGCGGAAUUCCUAGUGUAGCGGUGAAAUGCGUAGAUAUUAGGAGGAACACCAGUGGCGAAGGCGGCUUACUGGACGGUAACUGACGUUGAGGCUCGAAAGCGUGGGGAGCAAACAGGAUUAGAUACCCGUGUAGUC